RNAcentral lists this ribosomal RNA (433 nucleotides) under uncultured bacterium. Its description in RNAcentral is "partial 16S ribosomal RNA". It matches the Rfam family "Bacterial small subunit ribosomal RNA", at positions 29 to 507 of the family's 1533-position model. The record is from RNAcentral.
AACGAACGCUGGCGGCAUGCCUAACACAUGCAAGUCGAACGAGGCCUUCGGGGCUAGUGGCGCACGGGUGCGUAACGCGUGGGAACCUGCCCUUAGGUUCGGAAUAACUCCCCGAAAGGGGUGCUAAUACCGGAUAAUGUCUUCGGACCAAAGAUUUAUCGCCUUUGGAUGGGCCCGCGUUGGAUUAGCUAGUUGGUAGGGUAAAAGCCUACCAAGGCGACGAUCCAUAGCUGGUCUGAGAGGAUGAUCAGCCACACUGGGACUGAGACACGGCCCAGACUCCUACGGGAGGCAGCAGUGGGGAAUAUUGGACAAUGGGCGAAAGCCUGAUCCAGCAAUGCCGCGUGAGUGAUGAAGGCCUUAGGGUUGUAAAGCUCUUUUAACCGGGAUGAUAAUGACAGUACCGGGAGAAUAAGCUCCGGCCAACUCCGUG